RNAcentral lists this long non-coding RNA (7788 nucleotides) under Lactuca sativa (garden lettuce). RNAcentral's name for it is "long non-coding RNA (LSAT_LNC006580)". Lineage: Eukaryota; Viridiplantae; Streptophyta; Magnoliopsida; Asterales; Asteraceae. The record is from RNAcentral.
ACCUUGGAAGUUCUUAUUUGCAUGUAUAAUAGAGAAAACAUAGAUCCAAGGUAUUUAGGGUUGCAUGUACACUUAGGAGUGUUAGAAUGCUCAAAACCCAACAGUGGUAUCAGAGCCUAGGCUUGUUUUCUUGUUAUACCUGCAAUAGAAGCUGAAAAAACGAAUCUGGUGCUGUCUGGCCAUCAGACUCGGCGAGUCCAUCAGGAGACUCGACGAGUCCAUGCCUAAAAAGUGAUGAAUUCGAUCCAACUCGCCGAGUUUGUUCAUGCACUCGACGAGUUGGACCCCCAGACAGCAUAUUUUCGAGUUUUUUGGCUAGAAAUGGACUAGGAACAUUACCCUAAGUUGUUUUUGAACUUAUAAACUUGUUUUUGAUGUGGUAAUGUUCAUGCUAAUCCAUUUUCAAAGAUAAUUGUCAAUAGAUUCAUGUUUUGUAUUAGUUUAAGGUUUAGACUAAUUACAUGAAAAAGUUUGAUUUGAAUUAUCUUGUUCUUAUGAGUUGCUUAGAUUAAUAGAAAUGUUGAGUGAAAUAGUUGUUUUCAAUCCAUUUUAAUCUAAGAGUUGAGUAUAAAAUGUGUUUGUGUAACUUGUCCUCAAGUUACAUGAAGAGUCACAUUAAAGACUCAUAAAACUCAUAAAAGUUGGCAAUGGUUACAAAAUGAAGAGUCUUGUGUCAUUGAAUAAUUUUUUUUGACUCCAUAACUUGUCCUCAAGUUAUGGAAGUUCAAGAGUCACUUCAUUAAAGAAAAAUAUGUAACCAUAAUUAAAUCCAUAAGUUAUAAAAUAAAGAAAAAGUUAGUUCUUUUAUUAGUUUAAAGUCUUCCAUAACUUGUCCUCAAGUUAUGGAACUUGAAGAGUUUUUGGAUUAAAACUACUUUAAACACAUAAGUUAUGGAAUUAAUUAGUUUUGAAUAGUUUCAAAACUUGCCCUCAAGUUUUGGAAUUUGAAAAGUUUUCAAGUAUGAAUACUUUAAUUCCAAGUUAGCCCUUAGAAUUUUAAAAGUUAAAAUUCAACCCUUAUACUUUAUAAUAUUAUAAGUUAAUAAUAUAUAUAUGUAUAAGAGUAAAGUCAGUCUUACCGCUAGUACGCCUCAUUCACGAAGCCGGUCUAUAAGGUGGGUAUAAGGUUGUUGCCUAUAAAAUGGCAACUUAAUGGGUGUCCACUCUCACCCACCGCUUGCUUGACUGGUGGAGGGUCGUUAGCCGAACGGGUUUGACAGGACUAGAAUUCUCCCUUCAUUAAAAGUAUUAAUGAUAAUACUAAGUAACUAAACUCUUAAUAAUACCCAAUCUUAGUUACUUAGGAAAAAUGUGAAUAAGGUGCUAAUCCAUGAAAUUACACUUUACACUUUGUCUAAGUCGUUAGUGGAGCGUGUGUGGUUAACCGGCACACUAACUUGGACUUAACAAGGUAGGUAAAGGGUGACUUAAUAUUUAUCAUAGUAUCGAUGGAGCGUGUGUGGUUAACCGGCACAUCGAUUGAGGGGUAAUUUAUUAAGGGUACCAAGUGAUUUGCAUGGUUACUUCACACCUUGUUUUGUGAUCCUCGGCAUCCCAGUCACAAAACCUGAAGGGCACACUCGAGAUUGAAACAUGCCUUUGAAAAGUUCAAUGAAUCUCAAAGAUCUAGGAGUUUCAAAACCAAUUAAAACCUAAUAAUACAUUUCGUUUAUCUUGGUGGAAAUUGGUGAAUCGUCAUUCACCUACCUUCAAAUAUUUUAUAGCUUGGAUUACGGCAUACCUCUUCUAAGUUAUAAAAUAGUUUGUUGGGUCCUAGCCUUAAUAUUUCAUAUUGGGUGUCAUAUUAAGGACUUUAAAUCAACUAUCUUGAAUAUCUCCCAAAAGAUGUCUGGUUUAGACACCUAUGAUCUUCCCAAAUCUCUUGAAACAAGGUUUCCUAAUGAAGAUGAUGUCCCAUGGAUAUCAUACUUCUUCACCUCUUCAAAUUAUUCUCCCUAACCCACAAGUUCUUGAAAAGUUUAAGGUCACUCAGGCCCUAUUAGCAAGGCAAGGUCUAGGUGUGGUCACAUCUUGGAGAUGUAGUCACAUAUUGACAAGCCGGGAGAGUUGGGUGUCAAAGUCUUGAGAAAGUUGGUGGUUCAAUCACUUUCUAAGUCACAUAGUGAGUUCCUUUGGGACACCUAUGAAACAGACUAUGACAAGACCCUUAAUGAUCUUAUCUAUUUGCUAAGAUCAACUUCCUAAAACUUUAUGGACAUUGACAAUGAUGACAUUGGAUAUCCAGUAAAGCAUUCUCUUCCCAAUGGAAAGGGAUCGGCCAUAGUCAACUCGGUUGACCAAAUGGUAAAGAGAAAAGCUAAGUCUGUGAUAGUCCCGUGUACCAUUAUCAAAGGGUCCAUAUGUUUAUAUUGCCAAAGGAAGGGGCAUUGGUUGCGAAGCUGCCAAAUUUACCUAAGGAUGUUAAAGUCAAUAAGUUUGACUCUACUUCAGGUAAAGUCCACUAUCUAACUCUGUUAAGUUUCUAUUCUGAGAUUCUUGAUACAUGAUGUGACUGGGUCACAUGGUGAUGUUUUAAGAAUCAAAGAAAAGUGAAGAAACUUAAAGAAAGAAUAUGCUGAAUCUGAUGGCGUAGAUGGAUUUCUAUCGCAUAGUUUGAAGAUCGGAUUCUUGAGCUACUUCUUAGGAGUUAUGAGAUAUUGCUUAGGAAUAGAUAACAACAAGUUUUCAUAUGGAUUGUAAGGAUAAGUUUUUCCGCAAAGUUUUAAAAUAAAAGAAAAUUUUUUUGAUUUUAUUUAUUUUAAAAUAUCCUUACAAUGGCUUUUGAGGAAAAAUUGUUGCUUAUAUGAUUCCAUUAAGAGCAAGAGUGGAAAUAUGAAAUUGAUUCUUUCAUUUGUGGUAAUGUCUAGAUUUACCAAAUAAGGAAAGAUUCUCAUCACCCAAGUUUCAAUUGGACCGGAACUUGGAAUCAUGCAAGUUGUAUAGCAUGAUGAAUGAGAACUUUCAAGUUUUGGAAAAUUAAGACUAAUUACUUGUUCACAUGGAUGUGUGAGUCAAGUAAAGGACUAAGGGAUCGAGUACACAUUCUUGUGCACUGAUUAAGUCCACCACUAAAGAUCGAUAAGAAGAAUCAAAUUAGGCAGAAGGAUAAAAGUUUCUCAAAUCUGAAAAGAUGGGAGAGUACUUUAGUAUCAGUUUUGUGAUCAUCUUAAUGAUUAAGAAACCAUAUCACAAUUAGUUCUCUAAGGAAAUCUUAGUGCAUUCUUAUGACUAAGAAGAGGAACUUGAAUUGUUGAAAUGGUUAAAUCAAGAAGAUGAGUCAUACUUCGUUCCAAUACAAGUCUUAGAGUCAUACUCCAAGAUUGUCAUUUGAGUGACAUGUCUUAAAGAAGGUUUAAAACACUUGUCAAAUGUAAGAGUAAAAGUUUUCUACUCUUGUACAUUUGAAAUUGGUAAGUUGUGAUGUUUUGGAUAAAACAAAGACCAACUUAGGCCAAUUGGGUAAAGUGUUUUUCUUGAUUAGAAUCCGCACUAUCUCUUGGAUGUUUGACAAGGGAGUCUUAUAUGUCAAGAGGACAGUGGGAGUCUUAAAGGUCUUGAAAGUCUCAAGAAAUAAUCAAGAAUAAAACCUGAAGUUCUUCACUAGCACACGACUUGAGGUUUAUAACCUAUCGUGUUGACAUAUCUGUGCCCAUUCCAGUUAAAGUUGGCUUUGCAUAUGAGUUCUUAGAGUUCUCAGUUUGUUGCAUAACAACUUGGAAGCAAUGGCAGGCCCUUGAGCUGCCAGGUGGCAAGAAGUUAAGAUUGAGUUCAAUCCAUAUGGUUUUGGAUUUGUCAUUAUCUUUGUCUUGUGAUUAUGGUUUGACAAAUUCAUAUGGGUAGGAACUCAUACACCAUAUAAAUCUAAGUGUCAUAAGGUUUCUCUCCGAUUCAUGAAAAUGAUGGUGAGGAAACGCUUUCACUAAGUAGAUUUUACGAAGAUAUCAAUUGUGUUAUUUGCAUUUUCAAAAGUCGUUAGUGGAGCGCGUGUGGUUAACCGGCACACUAACAUGGACUUGUGAGAAAUGGCAAAUGCCUAAGCAAUUGAGACCAUGAUUACGGUAUCCCUUUUCAUGGUUCUUGAAAUUGCUUAGACACACAGGUGAGCUAUCUACGGAAAGGGUGUAUGAAUCUAAAUUUCAGACUGUCCAGCUGAUUUCUGAGUACAUGUCAAAGCUAGUGGGAGCAUAAGUGUUAUGCUAAUAAUCAUCAUGUUAGUGGGAGCAUGAUAAUUAUGAUAAGUAUUGCAAGUUAGCAAUGUUAAUUAUAGAAAACAAAAGUUUCAAUUGGGAAAAAGUUGUUUUGCUAUAAUUAAGGGAGAGGAAAUUAUGCUUCAUCUCAAAUCUAUAAGCUUAGAUCGUGAGGUUUUAAUCAUUUAGUCAAGGAUAUAUAUGAAUUUCAUGUUGGAAUGGCUCAACAUAAGGAAAUUCUGUAUAUGGGUCCAUUAUUUGCGUUCUAAAAUUCGAUUAUGAUUACGGCAUCCCUUUUCAUAAUCUGAAUUAUGAGAACUUGGCAAAUUGAAAUGGAAAUAUUAUAGCAAAAGACUGGUUUAGUCUUUAUGUAAGACAUCAUGAAUCGUGUCCCAUAUGCUUCGGAUAUAGGAUCGAUUACAUGUGCUAUAUUCAUCCGUUCUAAAAUUUUCCAAAUGCCUGGGGCAUUAAGAAGGGAAAAGGUUUAGAACUGGAUAUGACUAAAAGGAUUAAACAAUUGUCGAGGACAAUCUAAGGUUUACCAAAGAUUGGUUACUCAAGGACAAUUGGAAGUAUAGUGAUAAUUCUGGAAGGACCAUAUUGACAUAAUCUGUAAGGAGGCAACUCUUGUUCAGAAGUGAUAGUCAAAAUGGAAUCUGGAAAUGUUUCAAAGUUAGAAUUUUCAAUCUGUGUAAGAUUAAGGAAACUUAAUGCAAGAAGGAUAUUUCCAAGGAGUUGAUCUCCUUUGGAAUACUCUGUAAUGAUUGUUGCCAAGUCUUUGUGACUUUGUGCAUAAUCAUUACAAGAGGAUCAAUGCAUAUAAGUUUAGAAUCUAACAGAUUUCAGUAAAUGGCAUGAAUUUGGAAUUCUUGCAUUUGCAGUAAGGAUUUGGGAGUGUGAAAAGAGAAUCAUUGAAGUUAUGUUCAAUUGAUCUAGUUCACAAAGUAAAGAUCAUAGACAAACAUAGUAUGCAUACUUGGUGUGUGGCAUGACUAGUGUUUAAGAAAACAUAGUGUACAUGCUUGGAGCAUGGGACAACUAUUGUUUUAAAUUCAAGAAUAAAGUUGAUAGCUGAAACAGUAUACAAUGAAUAAUGUGUAAUCAUAUGGUGAUAAAUAAAAGGUGUUUUAUUUAUGUUCAAAGGGUUGAUACCAUAUUGGAUUCAAUUAUUAUUGUGUUUCAUUUUGCAUGUUUUGACUUCCCGAAUAAACUGGGUUAUUCUUCCGGAAUGACUAAGUUAUUCAAACCAUCCACAGUCGGUCAUAUGUUGGAAGUAGAUAUGAAUUAAGACUGUCAUGGGUUGGCUUGUAGAGGUCUAAGGUGUUGGACAAAGGGCUACAACACUCAUGAGUGCUCAUAAGUUCUGAGUAUUGGAUUCAACCCGCGCUCAUUGGAAUCACUUCAUGGAUUUUAUCACGAGUGAUCAUGAGACGAUAAUAUCUUAUAUUCUUCAAACCUAGAGAUAUGAGUUGUUACUAUGAGUUGAUAGUACAUUGAUUGCACGAAAACGCAUUUGGUAACUCGGUGCUAUAAAACGUGCCUUUGUGUAUGAUUCAACAAGUAGUAGAACAAGCCAUAUGAGUCGAAGUUUAUCCAUUCCUUUUACCUUCGGGAUAAAAGCGAUAUCUGUGGGCCCCUCGAUGAUUUGAUGAUGACAAAUGGAAGUGCUCGGCCGGGCCAGGACUGAUUUGAUUUGUUCAAUUAGUCAGUCGUCAUAAAUCGGAAAUCGGGAAACAACAAAUGGACAGAGAGAAUGAUUAUAAUCCAUGUCUCAGUCCAUAUGAUAUCUAGAAUGGAGGAAUAUAUGAUCCCUUAUCUAAUGGACAAGUCAUUGACAAAGGUCAGAGUUCAUCUACAAGGUCAGAGUUCGACAGAAGCUUUUGAGAGCUACGAUUGCCAGUUGGUUCCUGAAGUCAUACGCAAUAAUAGUUUUAGACUUAUCCAAGUGGGAGACUGUUGGAUUAAUGUCUAAGUCCAUAACUAUAAUUGGUAAGACUUGACCCGACCCGGCAUGGUCCAUUUGGGUUGCAUACCAUCAUGCACUUGGAUAGACUAUAAUGAGAGAAAUAAGACACUUAUGGUUAUUAAUAUAUUAUAAGUUCUAGUAUAUUAAUAAUAAGAAUAAUAAGAUUAUUUAAUUAGUAUUGAUCAAGAAUUAAUCUAGGAUUAAUUAAGUGAUCAAAAGAAGACUAAUUAAAUAUAUGGGUUGAUUGUGUAAAUCAUCCAUACUUGUAUAGUGGGCUAAUGCUCCAUGGAUAAUCAAGUUGGGCUAAAACCCAUAGGAUGGUCCAUGGAUGCUCCAUGGUGUAUUUGUACCCAUGGAUCCAAGGAAAUGGAAAGCCAUGACAAUUAAGAGUUUACCCUAAUUGUGUAACUAUAUAAGCAUCUUAUUAUUGAGGAAAAAUCGGCCACUAGUAGUAUUCAAGAAAGGGCUAGCCGAUUUUGGUGCGUGUAGAAUUCUCUCAAGUCAUUCUAAGUGUUUUGAUGAUUGUGAUUCCAUUUGAGGUGUCACACUUGGGGCACUAAGCACUCAAGCUUCAUGAAGACUUUCUACAUCAAGAGGUAUGUAUUCUAUCUUGUUACAUUAUUGUUUUGUAUGCUAGAUUAGGAUAAUACCUUGGAAGUUCUUAUUUGCAUGUAUAAUAGAGAAAACAUAGAUCCAAGGUAUUUAGGGUUGCAUGUACACUUAGGAGNCGACAAUAUGUACAUAUGAUAUAUAACUAAUAUUUAAACAACCUUCGGACGAAUACCCGAUGUCCCACCAGACCACAUCUCAAGCGCGAAAAGGAAAUAGGUAAUGGGUUUGAGCCAUAAGAACAUUCCUAUGUGCACAUACAAACCCUAAUGCUUGGAUCUAGGUUUCUCUAAUUGAACAUGCAAUAAUUCCAAGACUUUAAUUGAUAGAUCUUGUAUAAUAAACUAAGAAAUCAGAUCUGAAAGAUUACCUUGAAUUACUUGCAAGAAUCUUCUUGUCCUUAGAGCUUAGAGUCACAAAUGUCACUCCUCUAAUGUCUUACAAACACCAACUUAGCAAGAGGAUGAUUAGAGAGAGAGAGAGAGAGAAGGGUAAGAAAAGUCGGCCAGGGUUCCUCCAAUACCAAGGGUGCCGAUUUUCUUAACCCCAUAGGUCUAUUUAUACUAGUGAGCCUUCUAGGGUUUCACCCUUAAAACCUUAAUUGGAUAACUUAGGCCCUAAGCAAUCCAAUCUCCUUAUUGAUAAGCCCUUGGACGAUUUCUAGGCCUUUCCUAACCCUAAAAUCGUCCACUCCCUUAUUCAUAAGGAAACAUAGCCCAAAGUACAACUAUCACACAAUUGAAAGUUUAUGCCCCUUUAUUCAAUUAAUCUCUUUAAGUCACCAAAUUAAUUCUUAAUUAAUUUAUGACUUAUAUUAAUCAAAUAACAAUAUUAUUAUUCCUUAUAUUAUUCUCAUAAUAUAUUAAUAAUAUUUCUUCUCUCAUUACAAAUCAUCCUGUCAAGUUGCUAUGGUGAAGGCAACCCAAAAGGACCAUGAACAACCGGGUCAAAUACUAGCCAAAUAUAGUUGCAGCCUUAGACACUAUUCCAACAAUAGGGUGGAUAGCCUUCCUAAGUCUUUUAAAC